Molecule: small nuclear RNA, 92 nt
Organism: Vulpes vulpes (red fox)
Lineage: Eukaryota; Metazoa; Chordata; Mammalia; Carnivora; Canidae
Source: Ensembl
GUGGUUGCUUCAGUAGUACGUAUACUAAAAUUGGAUUAGCAUGGCUCCUGUGCAAGGAUGACAUGCAAAUUCAGGAAGCUUCCCAUAUUUUU